AAGCCCGAGUAAACGGCGGCCGUAACUAUAACGGUCCUAAGGUAGCGAAAUUCCUUGUCGGUUAAAUACCGACCUGCAUGAAUGGCGUAACGAGAUGGGAGCUGUCUCAACCAGAGAUUCAGUGAAAUUGUAGUGGAGGUGAAAAUUCCUCCUACCCGCGGCAAGACGGAAAGACCCCGUGGACCUUU
RNAcentral lists this ribosomal RNA (188 nucleotides) under Helicobacter pylori. RNAcentral describes it as "partial 23S ribosomal RNA". It matches the Rfam family "Bacterial large subunit ribosomal RNA", at positions 1915 to 2102 of the family's 2925-position model. Lineage: Bacteria; Pseudomonadati; Campylobacterota; Epsilonproteobacteria; Campylobacterales; Helicobacteraceae. The record is from RNAcentral.